GGCGCAGCGGUAAAUGUUAUAAUUUAGGGGUAAAGCACUGUUACGUAUGCGGGCUGGUAAUUCGGUACCAAAUCGUUGCAAACUAAGAAUACUAAAUGUACAAUUUACCAGUAAGACUGUGGGGGAUAAGCUCCAUUGUCAAGAGGGAAACAGCCCAGAGCACCAGUUAAGGCCCUUAAAUAAUUACUAAGUGAUAAAGGAGGUGGGAGUGCAUAGACAAUCAGGAGGUUUGCUUAGAAGCAGCAAUCCUUUAAAGAGUGCGUAAUAGCUCACUGAUCGAGUAAACCUGCGCCGAAAAUGUAUGGGACUAAGUAAUUUGCCGAAACUGUGCGAUAUAUAUUUAUAUAUCGGUAGGGGAGCGUUCUGUUGUAGGUCGAAGUAUUAGCGUAAGCGGGUAUGGACGAAGCAGAAGUGAGAAUGUCGGCUUGAGUAACGAAAAUAUAGGUGAGAAUCCUAUACCCCGAAAACCCAAGGUUUCCUCCGGAAGGCUCGUCCGCGGAGGGUAAGUCAGGACCUAAGGCGAGGCUGAAAAGCGUAGUCGAUGGACAACGGGUUAAUAUUCCCGUACCAUUUUUUAUUGAUAUCGAGGGACGGAGAAGGCUAAGCUAGCCGGAUAUUGGUUUUACCGGUUUAAACGUUCGAGAUGUUGAGAAGCGGAGAAAACGCUUUGAGUUGAGACGUGAAUACGAGACGCUAAGGCGUCGAAGUAGUGUAUGUCAUACUUCCAAGAAAAGCUUGCACUGUCAUAGAUAAAAAAUGCCUGUACCAUAACCGACACAGGUGGGUAGGUAGAGUAUACUAAGGGGCGCGAGAUAACUCUCUCUAAGGAACUCGGCAAAAUAACUCCGUAACUUCGGGAGAAGGAGUGCCUUAUUUAUAAGGUUGCAAUAACAAGAUCCAAGCAACUGUUUAUCAAAAACACAGGUCUCCGCUAAGUCGUAAGACGAUGUAUGGGGGCUGACGCCUGCCCAGUGCCAGAAGGUUAAAGAAGUCGGUUAGCGCAAGCGAAGCUGAUAACUGAAGCCCUGGUGAACGGCGGCCGUAACUAUAACGGUCCUAAGGUAGCGAAAUUCCUUGUCGGGUAAGUUCCGACCCGCACGAAAGGCGUAAUGAUUUGGAUACUGUCUCGGAGAGGGGCUCGGUGAAAUAGACUUGUCUGUGAAGAUGCGGACUACCUGCACCAGGACAGAAAGACCCUAUGAAGCUUUACUGUAACUUGAAAUUGAAAUUGGACUUUAUUCGCGCAGCAUAGGUGGGAGGCGUUGAUUAUAAUCUUGCGGGAUUAUUGGAGCCAUCAGUGAGAUACCACUCUUGUAAUGUUAGAUUUCUAACUUUGAAUCAUUAUCUGGUCAAAGGACAGUUUCAGGCGGGCAGUUUGACUGGGGCGGUCGCCUCCUAAACGGUAACGGAGGCGUACAAAGGUUUCCUCUGAACGGUUAGAAAUCGUAUCUAGAGUGUAAAGGCAUAAGGAAGCUUGACUGUGAGACCUACAAGUCGAGCAGGGACGAAAGUCGGUCUUAGUGAUCUGACGGUACUGAGUGGAAAGGCCGUCACUCAACGGAUAAAAGUUACUCUAGGGAUAACAGGCUGAUCUCCCCCAAGAGUUCACAUCGACGGGGAGGUUUGGCACCUCGAUGUCGGCUCAUCGCAUCCUGGGGCGGUAGUACGUCCCAAGGGUUGGGCUGUUCGCCCAU
RNAcentral lists this ribosomal RNA (1694 nucleotides) under marine metagenome. RNAcentral describes it as "bacterial LSU rRNA". It matches the Rfam family "Bacterial large subunit ribosomal RNA", at positions 873 to 2588 of the family's 2925-position model. The record is from RNAcentral.